This is a long non-coding RNA of Nothobranchius furzeri (turquoise killifish), 5505 nucleotides long. NCBI's taxonomy places the organism in Eukaryota, Metazoa, Chordata, Actinopteri, Cyprinodontiformes, Nothobranchiidae. The record is from Ensembl.
AUGAACUCUGAACACUCUCAGCCCCACUGUAGCAACUUCUCCAUAGACCGUAGUACAGUGAUUGCUGUCGGAGGCAGCCAGCAGAUUGCCCCUCCUGCAGAUUCACCACAUCUUCAAGUUCCACUGUGGAACCCCCCACAGAUGGGACAUCUUGUUUCAGACAACAGUGAUCAAGCUGGCGAGGAGUUCCUGAGAUGUAUUGCAGCCAACAAACCUCUACCAGAUUAUCUCAAAGGCAAUAUGGCAUUAAACCUGGCUGAUGCACUCAAGUCUGCUGAAACACUGAAAGUUUCAGUCAAGUCGGUGACCAAGAGUAAGAGCCGUAGUCGAAGUCAAAGCCGAACCCGUGGCAGAUCUCGAGCCAAGAGCCGAGCAAGGAGUCGAAGCAGAGGAAGGAGCAAAAGUCAUGUUCGUGGCAAGAGUCGAGCCAAAAGCCAAACGCGGGCUUGCAGUAGGAGUCGGAGCCGGGGCAAGCAGAGUCACAAACGGAGCAAAAGUCGAGUCAGAAGAUCUAGGUCCCGAAGCAGCAGUAGUGAAAAGAGCCAUGGCAAAGACAGGAAGAGGAAGAGAAGCCCUGACAUCAGCAGCAACAAUCUGACUGGAAACCGUCUGUUUGAAGGACUCAAACUAGUCAUGAACAGCAAAGAUGUGGAAGAGCGGUUGCCCUCUCUCAAAGAUGCCAUCCUUGGUAUUCAGGCUUCAUGUGGAAAAAAGACAGUGGAGAACGUGUCUGAUGAGCCCAAACAUCAGCAAUAUGACAGCAUCGACCCUUUCACAACACUGGAGAAUGAAAGCAUCUUGCUUCCACAUGAAAGAGUAGUUGGUGACUUCUCUUGGCUUCAAGAAAAAAGCCAGGAGGAAAUUUCUGUCCUGAAAGCCAAAGAGUUUGAAGAAGAAGAGUCAUUUUUGUAUGGGUCUGGGGGUUACCUCCAAACUGAAGAACAUGCCAAACAUCUUGGUGCACAAGAACCCCUUCAGAUGGCAUCAUCUGCCUUUGCCAAUGCCAGUCUGGAUAAGUUGGAGUUUGACAAAAUCAAGAAAAUCCUCGAUAGUUUGGGAGGAACAUCGGAUAUUGGCAAGAUGGUAAUGAAUACUCAAAUGAUAAAGGAAGGCAGUGAAGCCUUUCCUGCUAUUUUAAAUUCAGACGUAGCAGUGGAGACUCUGAAAAACCCAAGUGUACGGAAAUCCCUGGAGUCGUUGCAGUCUCUGAUCAGAGCAACAAAGGACAAACGGGCAAGAAGCAACGGACAAUCAGAAACCUCCUCUGAAAAACAGAAGGCUGGCGACAAUGAAAAGAAGAAAAAAGACAAACAAACUAAAAUAAAAGAACUGGAAUCACUGGCACAAGAAUUGGAUGUUUUGCUUCGAGAGGAUGGAAUAGGCUUCAUGUCUCCAGUGAUCGGGUUUUACUGCCAGAAGUGUGAAGAGUUCAUCGGAGAUUUGAAGUCUGUUGAGACUCACGCGGCUGUCCACAUUCAUAGUACCUCCAGCUGCGAAAGGGGACCCUGUUUUGAAGCUCGAAUCACCUCCCUGCAGGUUCUCGGGUUCUUCAGAUGGCUCUAAAUCCUCCGAGAAUUCUGCCAGCAGAUGGAGACAAAUCAUCAUGGAUGUCCUCUCUCCUCCAGCCCAGCAAAGCAGCUGAUGCCUUUUGGGGAACUGAAGUGGAGUUUGUCUCCACUUUAUCAAAAUCCAGAACGGUCAUGUUUUCUGCCUGCUUGCAGAAAGGCAUCCCUCUCCAAAGAAGGCUAGACAGCAGAUAAAUCUGAAGUCGAAGCAGAUCUUCUAGUUAAGGUGAAAACACGCAGCAACGAUCACUAACCUGCAGAAGUAACGCUGAUAAUGCAGUCUGAUCCUCUAAUGUGUUAAAAAACUGAAAGUGCAGAAAGUCUAAGAAAGCUGAGUUAAAACUGGAGUUAAAGAAACUCUCAAAAUAAACCGGUUUCUAGUCAAAUAUAAAACAUUUGUUGCUUAUAAAAGGAGUUUUAUUUCUGUUUAUUUCUUUUGGGUGUGUAACACCUCUAACCCUGCACAGACAACAGCCAGCUCUUAUUCUGAAAAUCUGACGGCACAUUUCCCAUAAACAAGAUUAGACACGUUUUUACGUCAUUGGGGUAGAUCAGGUAGAUGGAAGCAGAAAAGAUAAAAACCUGGUAAAGAACAAAAAGCUGCAGUUUAUGUUUUUGCUUAAUUUGUUUCAGAUAAAGAAAAUGUCCAAUUUUUUGUUGUUUAAUCAAUAAAACACACAAAAGUAACAUUUUUAAACAUCGACAUACAUAUAUAUGGACAAUGGGUUUCCAUAGACUCCAAAAAUACAUUGAGUUAAAAUGGGAGGUGGCUACCACCGCCAUUUUGAUCAUGUCACAGGUUCCGUCAAGCCCAGGGAAUUCCACAAAAGGGAAGAGAGGUGGGGCUGUAAGGCUCGGAUCAAAUGACGACACCCGUCAAACUGAAGCUAAUGUAGCUACAAGCUAACCCAAAGCUAACGCGGAGGUGGGAGCUAAGGUAACGGAGGUAGCAACCUAGCUACAACCAAAGUUAACUGUGUACAACACCAGAGCUUCUGAGUCACAGAUACGCCGGGCUGACCGCUGGGUAAAACCGGGUGGAACACAGAGGUCUCCCGAGAGCUUCACAAGCCGGCAGCCACGCCCCNNNNNNNNNNNNNNNNNNNNNNNNNNNNNNNNNNNNNNNNNNNNNNNNNNNNNNNNNNNNNNNNNNNNNNNNNNNNNNNNNNNNNNNNNNNNNNNNNNNNNNNNNNNNNNNNNNNNNNNNNNNNNNNNNNNNNNNNNNNNNNNNNNNNNNNNNNNNNNNNNNNNNNNNNNNNNNNNNNNNNNNNNNNNNNNNNNNNNNNNNNNNNNNNNNNNNNNNNNNNNNNNNGAGAUAAAUCUCAGUUGCCUAAUGUAAAUAAGUGUAAUUUUUUAAUCAUCUCAGUGGGGUUAACAACAGCCUGUCGAGUCAUUUUAAGACACUGGAAAGCAGUAGAAUCUCCAGAGGUUAAGGAAUGGGUCUGUGCAAUGGCUGAAUCUGCAUCAUAUGAAUGUAUGCUCAGUAAAAUGAGUGAAGACAACAGAGAGGGAACUUCUCACUGGGAUGGAUUCUGGAACUUUAUAAAGACAGACAAAGGCCUUGGGUGAAAUCAAGCACGUUAUGUGACUGCUGUUGUUCCGACAUUACAUGUCUGCAGGAGUUAUAUGAAUGGGACUUGUAUCCAAAAUCAACUGUUAUAACUGUAUGUUUAGUCCCUCCAUGUUUAGUAUCUAUUGAGACUGCUAUGUACCAGCCCCUCAAAGAAAGUUCAAUAAAAACUUGAAUUUCAAAAAAAAAUAAAACCAUGGGAGUCAACGGGGAUUUGCUUGCUUCUGACACCAGCCCCUAGUGGAUCCGAGUGGAACUGCAAUUUAUUUCAUUUCUGCAUUGGCCUCAAUUUCAGAUUCGCAUUGUGGGGGCUUGGUUUUAAACUGGACAAACGUAAAAACGGAAGGGUCGAUGUCUUACCUGCAUUACUGUUGGUUCUAUUUUCAGGCAUACAAAAAUAUUAAUUUGAUGUAUGUUUUACCUUCAAAUAAACAUUAAUGGUUUUGAAUUUCUCUCCCUGGGCUGCCACCUUACCCUGGUGAAGGGGUUUGAGUGUCUCAAUUAUCCUAGGAGCUAAGUUGUCUGAGGCUUUCUGCCUCGUAGGGUCACCCAUGGCAAACAGGUCCUAGGUGAGGGAUCAGACAAAGAGCAGCCCUAAGACCUCUUAUGAUGAAUUAUAUAAAUGGAGACUGUGUUCCCUCGCCCAGACGUGGGUCACCGGGGCCCCCCUCUGGAGUCCAUGGAGCCCGGCUGGGCACAGCGCAAAGAGGAAACAUGGGUCCCGCUUCCCAUGGGCUCACCACUCGUGGGAGGGGCCAAAGGGGUCGGGUGCAGUGUGUGACAGGUGAUAGUCGAGGGCGGGGACCUUGGCGGUCUGAUCCUCGGCUACAGAAGCUGGCUCUUGGCACAUGGAAUGCCACCUCUCUGGUGUGGAAGGAGCCUGAGUUAGUGUGUGAGGUUGAGAGGUUCGGACUAGAUAUAGUCGGAUUCACCUCAACGCAUGGGCCUGGAGAGGUGUGGUUGGGAAGAACAGCCCCCGAUCUGAAUUUGAGUGGUGUUUUGUUCUGUGCCAGUCAUGGAUUGUCCAUAAUGAACACCAUGUUCAGACAUAAAGGUGCUCUUGGCACCAGGAUACCUUAAGUACACUGUGUGACUUUUUCACUUUUUUGAGCCGAUUUUCCACUCGUGCGAGAAUCCACGAGAUCGGGGCGAGUUUUGUGCCGAGCGUCGUGUAGUGUGCAGGGCAUUACGAGAGGCGAUUAACACCACGUGACCAGCUACCGAUCAGCAAUCGUGAGCUCGCACAAACUUCUGGCGUGUUUGAAAUUUUGCUCGUCCCUCGUGAGGGUAUUGCACUGUUGAAGCAGCGCUGCGAGCAGCUGCAACCCAAAAAGUAUCAGAACCGCUCACGGCACAUGCGCAAUCCUGCAUCAACACUGCUCGCCCGCUAUUUCCCUAAUAACACACGUUCGUUUUUAUUUCCACACAUUUUUUACUCACAAAGGUUGUCAAGAAAGCGUGUUUUUGUCGUGUUCAUGUCGAAUUAAACUGAUCACAAAACACAGAUAUACUUUCUUUUUUUCGUUGUCCUCAUCCAACCCCCAUAAAUCCCUGUGUGUCCUCCUGCAGCACUCCCGAAGGACAUUAGGAAAAACAAGACAAAAAACUCUGACGUGUUGUGUAAAAACUGCUAUUUUUAGCAUAUUUUUUAGGGCCAAUGUGUUGCUACCAGACGUACAGUGUGAGCAGUCAGGUCGCAUCCGAGAACUGGGUCGUGCAGUGUGAGCGCAUGACUCGUGAGAUCUGCCCUGUGAGGAAGUCGUACAGUUUGACCUGAAGCUGAGUGCUACGAGUGAAAAAGUCGCACAGUGUACGCCCGGCUUAAGGGAGAUCAACCACUUUAGUUUCUGUACAUUUAAAUAAACUGAGCCUUUAGCUAGCUUAGGGCUGACUCGACCCUGGGUGAGUAGAUUGUAGAGCAAGCCUGUCACAAUAACAUAUUGGCCAUUAGAGUUUGCUAAAAUUGAGGAAGGAGCAAAAGAGACUUCAUUAAAAUGGUAACACCCCUGGCUUUCCCUUCAAAGGUUGAAUCAAAAAGCUGUCCAAUCCAUCCACACUUCGAACGGACAUUGUCUGAGGUGUGUUUCUUCAAGGAAAGUAAUGCCAGCACCCAAAUUUUUCAGAUUUGUAAGAGCCUUUUUUCUUUAAACUGGAUGAUUAAGGCCUUUACCAUUCCAAGUAGCAAUAUCAAGAUAAGAAGCCAUCACCCAUACAUGUCACAAUUGUGUUGCACAAUUAGUGAAGGCUUGGACCCAAAAUGUAGUACCUAAAACGACACAAAGUGAGAUAUUGAAAAAAAUGUAAAUCUUUAUUUUAAGGAAGGUCAAGGCAAAAAUCCAAAAGGCUCCAAAAAAGCAAAGUGGAGCCAAC